AGCGAACGCUGGCGGCAGGCUUAACACAUGCAAGUCGAGCGGGCACUUCGGUGUCAGCGGCAGACGGGUGAGUAACACGUGGGAACGUGCCCUUCGGUUCGGAAUAACUCAGGGAAACUUGAGCUAAUACCGGAUACGCCCUUUUGGGGAAAGGUUUACUGCCGAAGGAUCGGCCCGCGUCUGAUUAGCUAGUUGGUGGGGUAAUGGCCUACCAAGGCGACGAUCAGUAGCUGGUCUGAGAGGAUGAUCAGCCACACUGGGACUGAGACACGGCCCAGACUCCUACGGGAGGCAGCAGUGGGGAAUCUUGCGCAAUGGGCGAAAGCCUGACGCAGCCAUGCCGCGUGGAUGAUGAAGGUCUUAGGAUUGUAAAUCCUUUCAGCGGGGAAGAUAAUGACGGUACCCGCAGAAGAAGCCCCGGCUAACUUCGUGCCAGCAGCCGCCGUAAC
RNAcentral lists this ribosomal RNA (449 nucleotides) under uncultured bacterium. RNAcentral's name for it is "bacterial SSU rRNA". It matches the Rfam family "Bacterial small subunit ribosomal RNA", at positions 29 to 524 of the family's 1533-position model. The record is from RNAcentral.